Molecule: ribosomal RNA, 253 nt
Filed under: uncultured bacterium
Lineage: Bacteria
Description: partial 16S ribosomal RNA
Rfam family: Bacterial small subunit ribosomal RNA
Source: RNAcentral
UACAGAGGAUGCAAGCGUUAUCCGGAAUGAUUGGGCGUAAAGCGUCUGUAGGUGGCUUUUUAAGUCCGCCGUCAAAUCCCAGGGCUCAACUCUGGACAGGCGGUGGAAACUACCAAGCUGGAGUACGGUAGGGGCAGAGGGAAUUUCCGGUGGAGCGGUGAAAUGCGUAGAUAUUGGGAGGAACACCAGUGGCGAAGGCGGCUCACUGGACCGGAACUGACGCUGAGGCGCGAAAGCGUGGGGAGCAAACGGG